RNAcentral lists this ribosomal RNA (700 nucleotides) under Shouchella rhizosphaerae. RNAcentral describes it as "bacterial SSU rRNA". It matches the Rfam family "Bacterial small subunit ribosomal RNA", at positions 516 to 1216 of the family's 1533-position model. Lineage: Bacteria; Bacillati; Bacillota; Bacilli; Caryophanales; Bacillaceae. The record is from RNAcentral.
CGCGGUAAUACGUAGGUGGCAAGCGUUGUCCGGAAUUAUUGGGCGUAAAGCGCGCGCAGGCGGCUUCUUAAGUCUGAUGUGAAAUCUCGGGGCUCAACCCCGAGCGGCCAUUGGAAACUGGGGAGCUUGAGUGCAGAAGAGGAGAGUGGAAUUCCACGUGUAGCGGUGAAAUGCGUAGAGAUGUGGAGGAACACCAGUGGCGAAGGCGACUCUCUGGUCUGUAACUGACGCUGAGGCGCGAAAGCGUGGGGAGCAAACAGGAUUAGAUACCCUGGUAGUCCACGCCGUAAACGAUGAGUGCUAGGUGUUAGGGGUUUCGAUGCCCGUAGUGCCGAAGUUAACACAUUAAGCACUCCGCCUGGGGAGUACGGCCGCAAGGCUGAAACUCAAAGGAAUUGACGGGGACCCGCACAAGCAGUGGAGCAUGUGGUUUAAUUCGAAGCAACGCGAAGAACCUUACCAGGUCUUGACAUCCUUUGACCACCCAAGAGAUUGGGCUUCCCCUUCGGGGGCAAAGUGACAGGUGGUGCAUGGUUGUCGUCAGCUCGUGUCGUGAGAUGUUGGGUUAAGUCCCGCAACGAGCGCAACCCUUGAUCUUAGUUGCCAGCAUUAAGUUGGGCACUCUAAGGUGACUGCCGGUGACAAACCGGAGGAAGGUGGGGAUGACGUCAAAUCAUCAUGCCCCUUAUGACCUGGGCUA